This 467-nucleotide ribosomal RNA is filed under the name uncultured bacterium. RNAcentral's name for it is "partial 16S ribosomal RNA". It matches the Rfam family "Bacterial small subunit ribosomal RNA", at positions 28 to 506 of the family's 1533-position model. The record is from RNAcentral.
GACGAACGCUGGCGGCGUGCUUAACACAUGCAAGUCGAACGGAAAGGCCCUGCUUUUGUGGGGUGCUCGAGUGGCGAACGGGUGAGUAACACGUGAGUAACCUGCCCUUGACUUUGGGAUAACUUCAGGAAACUGGGGCUAAUACCGGAUAGGAGCUCCUGCUGCAUGGUGGGGGUUGGAAAGUUUCGGCGGUUGGGGAUGGACUCGCGGCUUAUCAGCUUGUUGGUGGGGUAGUGGCUUACCAAGGCUUUGACGGGUAGCCGGCCUGAGAGGGUGACCGGCCACAUUGGGACUGGGAUACGGCCCAGACUCCGAGGGGAGGGAGCAGUGGGGAAUAUUGCACAAGGGGCGGAAGCCGGAGGCAGCAACGCCGGGGGGGGGAGGACGGCCUUCGGGUUGUAAACCGCUUUCGCCUGUGACGAAGCGGGGGUGACGGUAAUGGGUAAAGAAGCACCGGCUAACUACGG